Poecilia reticulata (guppy) is the source of this 1274-nucleotide non-coding RNA. The record is from RefSeq and is a predicted model, not a curated record. Lineage: Eukaryota; Metazoa; Chordata; Actinopteri; Cyprinodontiformes; Poeciliidae.
CAGGGGUCAGGACCCCAUUAUCAGGUCAUGAAUUCGUACUCUUGAGGUCCUCUUCAGUAUGCAUCAAGGUUAUUAAAUUUCUGAAGUUGAACACAGUUCCCCCCCUGGGGAUCUGGAUCUGUUAUCCAGAUCCACUUUAGUUUGUAGUCUAGUGGUGGCAAUAAUGCACCUAAAUUAGUCUACCAGCUGCCAGUAAAAUCAAAAGGAGAAGGUCCCUUCAGAAAUUAAUCUAAAUGCUCUAAAUAUUAAAAACAAUGAUGAUAAACCAUAUGGAUUUUGGAAAUCAUAUUAUUCCAUGGAACACAAAUGGCUCCCCAGCCACACUUUGGACACUCUUGCUUUAAGAGUCCCUGGGAGGCUGGUGCCUAUCUUCAUCGGUCAUUACAUCAGAGACAGGAUACACUCUGGACGGGCUCUCGGUCUCCUGGCUGUUUCAAAAGAUGUUCUCUCUGGAGGUUGAAAGCCACAUCGCUGGCAGACAGCAUCCCAUGGGGCUGAAUGAAUAAAAAAAGAGAGAUGAUUUGAGAGGACAGACGUGCACAACAGACGCAGCACCUUGAACAUCAAAGCGCCGAUGCUGCAGCAUUGUAACGGCAUGUCUGUGCUUCCGCUGGAAGCCUGAACAUGCACACACCCCACCGCCGUGCAUGGAGCAUGUGAACAGGGGCCUGAGUGAUAGACUCCCGAGCUUUCAUCUCGCCCAGCGAGUGUAAAUAGCUGUCAUGUUUGAUUGGCGGUCUGACGCGCGCAUGAGAUUCCCUGGAACAGAGGAGCGAAAUUCAGUGAAGGCCCAACGCAUGCUGGUUCAGCUGUCUUCAAGGCUAAGAGGACGUUCUCCGCUUCUUGACCAAUGACCACUGGACCCCACGACCCAGUAAAGACACGCAGCAAUUUAGGUCCUCUGGAGAAAAGAGAGAAGAAGAGACUGCAACUGGCUAACCAUUAGCUGCUAACAAUGCUAACGUCAGAAUCUGCUUCAAAGCUUCCUGUUGCUGCUAAGCUAAAGAUUUUCCGGUCUGCGACUGCGUGCAAAAGCUGUUUGAAAAUGGAAAUUUAAUGGUUAUUGUAAUGAAUGUUGACUUAGCGGAGCAGAAAAGCAGGAGCGAGACCGUCUGAGAAGAGGGGAGUCGUCUGCUACAACAAGGCGGGGCGCUCCCCUGACUCGCAUCAUUAGAAGGUUUUUUACAAGCGACAAGCAGGCUAUUUGGCUGUCAUUGGGAUUGUUUGAAGAGAAUAUGUUUCUGCACCAUACUCCAGGGAGUCCCGGAUCAGGA